This 172-nucleotide ribosomal RNA is filed under the name uncultured bacterium. Its description in RNAcentral is "partial 16S ribosomal RNA". It matches the Rfam family "Bacterial small subunit ribosomal RNA", at positions 335 to 524 of the family's 1533-position model. The record is from RNAcentral.
ACUCCUACGGGAGGCAGCAGUGGGGAAUAUUGGACAAUGGGCGAAAGCCUGAUCCAGCCAUGCCGCGUCAGUGAUGAAGGCCUUAGGGUUGUAAAGCUCUUUCAGUAGGGAAUAUAAUGACGGUACCUACAGGAGAAGCCCCGGCUAACUACGUGCCAGCAGCCGCGGUAAU